UACGUAGGGCGCAAGCGUUAUCCGGAAUUAUUGGGCGUAAAGAGCUCGUAGGCGGUUUGUCGCGUCUGCCGUGAAAGUCCGGGGCUCAACUCCGGAUCUGCGGUGGGUACGGGCAGACUAGAGUGAUGUAGGGGAGACUGGAAUCCCUGGUGUAGCGGUGAAAUGCGCAGAUAUCAGGAGGAACACCGAUGACGAAGGCAGGUCUCUGGGCAUUAACUGACGCUGAGGAGCGAAAGCGUGGGGAGCGAACAGG
Molecule: ribosomal RNA, 253 nt
Filed under: uncultured bacterium
Lineage: Bacteria
Description: partial 16S ribosomal RNA
Rfam family: Bacterial small subunit ribosomal RNA
Source: RNAcentral